CAUUUAACUCCCUUGCUCAACCUGUCGCCUUCCCCAAAGCAUCUUUGGAGGCGCACAUAGCCCUCAUACCCAAGCCUGGCAAAGACCCGACCAAUUGCGGUAGCUACCGCCCAAUAUCUCUGAUAAAUCUUGAUGUGAAAUUGUUCACAAAAAUAUUGGCCACCCGCUUGAAACCUUUACUCCAAACCUUGAUACACUCCGACCAAGCGGGCUUCGUUCCCAACAGAGAAGCAAAACACAACACCACAAAAAUUUUAAACUUGAUAUAUUUGGCAAAACGCCUACCAACGGAGAGCCUCCUGCUCUCAAUCGACGCGGAAAAGGCGUUCGAUAGAGUGGACUGGACACUACUGACUGCCACCCUGAGCAAAAUAGGAUUUGGUCCCAAAUGGUUGGACUGGAUGCAAGCCAUCUAUUCCAAUCCCACAGCCAGACUAAGGGUAAAUGGACAACUCUCGGAACCAGUACUCAUUAGAAACGGCACGAGACAGGGCUGUCCCCUCUCCCACCUCCUCUUUAUCCUCAUACUGGAACCCUUCUUAAACGGAAUCCGGGACAACCCGGCUAUCAGGGGUAUUCAAAUACAAGGGGCGGAGUACAAAAUCUCAGCUUUCGUUGAUGAUCUACUCUUCACCAUACAAACUCCUGACACUUCCUUGCCCCCACUCCUAGAGGAAAUAGCCCAAUACCAUAAACUCUCCAAUUUUCAGGUAAAUUUCUCCAAAAGCGAAAUCCUACCAAUCCGAAUAGCGCCCCUCUCACGCACAAGCCUGCAAGCCGCAUUUCCCUUCACAUGGGCGGAUAAAUCCAUUAUAUACCUGGGAGUUCGUCUGCCGGCGGAUCUCUCUUCCAUCUUCACACUAAACUACGACCCACUAUACCAAACUAUCUCAAAAGACCUGCAAAACUGGCAAAAACCACAGUUCUCAUGGCUAUGUAGAAUCAAUAUUCUUAAAAUGAACUCCCUCCCCAAGAUACUAUACCUUUUCCAAACCCUACCGAUAGCAAUACCAAAGCCCUUUUUCACAAAACUUAGGCAACUUUUCACCGCUUUUAUAUGGGCACAGAAACAACCUAGAAUUCCAUAUGAGGUUCUCACCAGACACAAGUCAUGUGGAGGCCUGGGCCUCCCACACAUGGAAAGGUACUACAGGGCAACCAUUCUUUCCAGGAUUCACGACUGGUCCACGCACCCUCCGGCACGCCAAUGGGUAACCCUUGAAAGUGCAGUGAGCCUAGUACCUCUUUACACACUCCCCUGGCAAAGAGUAAUUCCCUCAAAAUUGCUUUCCUGUUGCUCCGCACAC
Molecule: non-coding RNA, 1307 nt
Organism: Pelobates cultripes (western spadefoot toad)
Lineage: Eukaryota; Metazoa; Chordata; Amphibia; Anura; Pelobatidae
Source: the annotation of a GenBank genome assembly